This is a long non-coding RNA of Xyrauchen texanus (razorback sucker), 2117 nucleotides long. RefSeq lists it as uncharacterized. The record is from RefSeq and is a predicted model, not a curated record. The transcript has 7 exons. Lineage: Eukaryota; Metazoa; Chordata; Actinopteri; Cypriniformes; Catostomidae.
GCCAGUGCGCUGCUCACGGCCACGCUCCGCCCCGUUCCUUUCUUCCCGGAAGUGCAUGUUUAUAAUAACUCUUAAAUGAGUAGGUAAUGAAAAGAGUGGCUAAAAUUGGCAGGUGAGUUUACCUUGCUGGUCCCCAUUUGGGUUACUGUAUGCCUUCCUGUUCAUGUUAUAAGCUUGUUACUUAUUAUAACCCGGUGUUCCCGAUGUUCCUGGUGACUCGGCUAAAAUUAUUCAUGUUUAAUGUAACUCAAAUCAAAUGAAAACAGUUAUUGUAGGCAGGUAAGUUUCCCUAGCUGGUCCCCUCCAGGUAAAAUGCUUUCUUAUUCAAGUUUUCAACUCAGUCAUUCAUUUAAGAUGCAAUCUUGUGUUAUAAGUAUUAGGCUAUCAUGAUUAAACAGUGAACAAGCUAUAUAAAUAAGUAUUUAAUAUGACAUUUUACUUAUGCAGGUGGUACUGAAAGAUUCAAUUCCUGUGGAGCUUAUGCAACACAGCUGCACAUGUGUUGGUGGAGCAGCAUUAUGCAACCACUGCGUUGCUUUGCUGUUCCAGUCAGCACAUUACUCUGAACUGAAUGUGCCAGUUGUGCCUCCUGUGCUAAGCUGUACUGAAGGGGAACAGCAGUGGCACAAGCCAAGAACUUUGGGUAUAAAGCCAGGCCCUGUCGAAAAAAUGGCUGUGCUGUCUGCUAAACCAAAGUGUAGAGCAACAACAGAGGGUGUAAGGAGCACACUCUACCAAGGCCUGAGUGGAGAUUUGCCUGACCUAUCCAUCCUUCAGAUGACAGCGGCUCACUUCAAGAGCAGGUGAAGCAAGUUGGGACAAUGUUGAAGACGUUUGCUCGCACUGGGCAAUCAGGUACAGAUCAGACCCUAAUGCUGUGACGUCUUGGAGAGUUUGGCGAUGUUGUGCGUAGCAUGGACAACAAAAUGGACACUAUUAACAUUUCAGUGCCAAUGUGUCUGUUGGACAGUUAUCCCUUUCAGGGGAUCUGUUACACCCAGGAAGAUUUGGCGUUGCUUGACAACAGUUUGAGGCAGGAUAAAGAGCUCCAGCAACAAUUUCUUCGGUUUUUGGCAAUCAAAUGUGGGAGGGACCUAAAGACAACCGUGUGGCGAAUGCUUCAGGGUAUCUUCUCUAAUCACCUUUCCAUCGAUACAACCUGGACUGGUGUAGGGGAUAAAGCAUGUUUUAGAGACAUGUUCCUGAAGACCAUUGUUCAAAAUCUUUAUUUUCUACAGGAGCCAUCAGGAAGAACCCGGCAACUCAGGAUGCCACUGAUGAGGCGAUCCAGGUUAACGUUACGCGUUACCUGAAAGGAGCAUCUGAACGUGAAGGUGGAAAAAGGCGCCGCACAGCUGAGAGGGACCCACAGUCGACCCCUUAAACCUAGGCUGACUACUGACACCCCAGCAUCACUGACAACUGGAACCCUUUCUUUAUCCUGCAGUCAGUAACAUCAAGACCCCUAAAAAAGCCUGCUAAAAGUGUCAGACUACACUCACCCAGUCCACACUGUUCACUGUGGAAAUUGCUGUUUUUUUUUUUUUCAUGACCCUGCCUUGAGCGCAGCUCCUUGGAUGAAUAUGGGAUGGUUUGUCCCUUUAUACAGGAAUCACUGAAGAUAUGCCAAUUUGCACUGCCUCAUUCUGGAGGUUGGGGAAAACCGGUGAUUCUUAACCCACUACGCCACGCAGACCCCAACCACUCCAGACAUUCUGAUUGGCUGUGUUCUCUACAGCCAGAUUUUCUGCUGUUAAUUGUAUUUGUUCCCACUUGUUGUCAUGUGUAAGUUGAAUGUCAAAAUGUAUAUUAUACCUGUUAUCCUGCACAUUCUUUGAUACCAAAGAUCUCAAUUAUUUAACAUACAAUUUUCUGCUUAUUUCAUUGUUACAGUGCUUAACUAUUCUAUUUUAAAAUAUAGCUUGUAAAUCCUAGAUUAUACAUCUAAAACUUGAUAUCGGCACAUUAUCUGGUAUCAAAUAUUCUACUUACCGUGACUUUAGUAUUGGCUUAUUUCAUUCCAUCAGUGCUUAACGAUUCUGUUAUAGUUUGUAAAUCCUAUUUCAUGCCUGAUAUUUGAUAUUGCACAUUAACUAGUACCAAAAAUUCUACUUUCA